Molecule: transfer RNA, 73 nt
Organism: Smithella sp. D17
Lineage: Bacteria; Pseudomonadati; Thermodesulfobacteriota; Syntrophia; Syntrophales; Smithellaceae
Rfam family: tRNA
About the family: Transfer RNA (tRNA) molecules are approximately 80 nucleotides in length. Their secondary structure includes four short double-helical elements and three loops (D, anti-codon, and T loops).
Source: Rfam
GGCCCCAUCGUCUAGUGGCCCAGGACACUAGGUUCUCAUCCUAGAAACACCGGUUCGACUCCGGUUGGGGUCA